This 632-nucleotide ribosomal RNA is filed under the name Alternaria arborescens. Its description in RNAcentral is "LSU rRNA". It matches the Rfam family "Eukaryotic large subunit ribosomal RNA", at positions 40 to 687 of the family's 3401-position model. The record is from RNAcentral. Lineage: Eukaryota; Fungi; Ascomycota; Dothideomycetes; Pleosporales; Pleosporaceae.
AUAUCAAUAAGCGGAGGAAAAGAAACCAACAGGGAUUGCCCUAGUAACGGCGAGUGAAGCGGCAACAGCUCAAAUUUGAAAUCUGGCUCUUUUAGAGUCCGAGUUGUAAUUUGCAGAGGGCGCUUUGGCUUUGGCAGCGGUCCAAGUUCCUUGGAACAGGACGUCACAGAGGGUGAGAAUCCCGUACGUGGUCGCUGGCUAUUGCCGUGUAAAGCCCCUUCGACGAGUCGAGUUGUUUGGGAAUGCAGCUCUAAAUGGGAGGUACAUUUCUUCUAAAGCUAAAUAUUGGCCAGAGACCGAUAGCGCACAAGUAGAGUGAUCGAAAGAUGAAAAGCACUUUGGAAAGAGAGUCAAACAGCACGUGAAAUUGUUGAAAGGGAAGCGCUUGCAGCCAGACUUGCUUGCAGUUGCUCAUCCGGGUUUUUACCCGGUGCACUCUUCUGUAGGCAGGCCAGCAUCAGUUUGGGCGGUAGGAUAAAGGUCUCUGUCACGUACCUCCUUUCGGGGAGGCCUUAUAGGGGAGACGACAUACUACCAGCCUGGACUGAGGUCCGCGCAUCUGCUAGGAUGCUGGCGUAAUGGCUGUAAGCGGCCCGUCUUGAAACACGGACCAAGGAGUCUAACAUCUAUGC